UGAGUGCUCUCCAUUCUGGAGCUGUCCAGGC
This 31-nucleotide non-coding RNA is filed under the name Homo sapiens (human). The record is from RNAcentral. Lineage: Eukaryota; Metazoa; Chordata; Mammalia; Primates; Hominidae.